Molecule: ribosomal RNA, 465 nt
Filed under: uncultured bacterium
Lineage: Bacteria
Description: partial 16S ribosomal RNA
Rfam family: Bacterial small subunit ribosomal RNA
Source: RNAcentral
GACGAACGCUGGCGGCGUGCUUAACACAUGCAAGUCGAACGGAAAGGCCCCUUUGGGGGUACUCGAGUGGCGAACGGGUGAGUAACACGUGAGUAACCUGCCCUUGACUUCGGGAUAACUUCAGGAAACUGGGGCUAAUACCAGAUAGGAAUCCUUGCUGCAUGGUGGGGGUUGGAAAGCUUCGGCGGUUUUGGAUGGACUCGCGGCUUAUCAGCUUGUUGGUGGGGUAGUGGCUUACCAAGGCUUUGACGGGUAGCCGGCCUGAGAGGGCGACCGGCCACAUUGGGACUGAGAUACGGCCCAGACUCCUACGGGAGGCAGCAGUGGGGAAUAUUGCACAAUGGGCGGAAGCCUGAUGCAGCAACGCCGCGUGCGGGAUGACGGCCUUCGGGUUGUAAACCGCUUUCAGCAGGGGCGAAGCUUGUGGUGACGGUACCUGUAGAAGAAGCACCGGCUAACUACGUG